AGCUGCCUGAAGGAGCAAGGGUACGUGAGGCUGAGCAGUGCUGGGGAAGGGCAAAGGAGCUGGGGAGCUCCAGCCUGGCAACUCCCCAGGCUGAGGCCUUGGUUAAGGCCUAAGAAGGAACUGGGUCAAAGUUUUGGAGUACCAUGUGUUCUUUUGCCCAUGCUCUUUGCAAGAAGGGCGUAAUGAAGUUCCAUGCUUGACAGAUACGAUGUAUUACAGCUCACUGCAAACUGUAGGUUGUUGUUGUGAGAUAUUUGCUUAGUUUUACAGUCCUUAUAGUGGUAACUUGGCCUUCUAUGUGCUGUGCAGGAAUGGUAAUCUACAAGACAGUGUGAAGGUUUAUUCUAUGUUCUGGUGGAAGAGAAUGGUAUUUUCUGUAAACUAGUGCACCUCAGCUGGCAGAAAGGAGAAAUUCAAUGUGAAGAUGAACAACUGAGACCUGAAAGCUGUAGGGUACAGGACUUCAUUUUUUCAACAAGUUGAUAAAAAGGCCAUCCUAGGAUCCUGGUGGAAUGCUGUAACAAUUCUAAAAGCUUCGAGGUGUCAGCUGUGCAAAAGGCAAUGAAGAACUUUAAACUGAGCCCAGCAUCAGGUUUAGGAUGUGAAGCUGUGAAGAGCCCUGUGUAGAUGGUGGCAUCCAACAGGACUUUGAUGACUGAGUGAAUCUGGAAAGUGGAAUCAACAACCAAUCAAAUGACAGAUUACUGAAAGAGUCAGAGCAUGAUGGACAAUCCGCAGACGAUACUCAUUUUACAAGUCUGCAGCAAGAGUAAGAAGACAUGACAUAAUUCCUUUUGGCCGCUCCAGACAAAAAUAGUAUAAUAAGCCUCAAGAGAUUAAAAGACUUGGAGGAACUCUGGUCUGGUUUUAUUUUAAAGUGGUCAGCUUAGAAAAAGAAUUGACAUUAGCAAGAAAAGAGUGAUCUUAUCAGGUAUUCACCAAAAUCAACAUAUGAAAACUAUCAAGAGAAGUCUGAGAAGCUGUAUUCUACCCUCUGGAUGUCUGAGGGGGCUAGAUACAGAAAUCCAUUGAGCAAUUUCAGCAAGAGUGAUUUUGUACCAGAAGCUUCAUUGUUAGAGCAUUAUUGGUCAGGUUCCACUGGACAGAUAAAGCACAGUAUAUUUGUGUUUCUUGAUUUGGGGUCAUGCUCCCAAUUCCUUCUCUGGCCUUCUGCCUUCACCGCUCAGGCUGCAAACCACUAUCCACCCCCUGCACUCGCAACGAGAGACACCCCUCUGAAUCUGCCUGGGUUGUUGGAUUGAGAGAGUCACUUUCUCAGCGGAUGGGUCGAACAAAUCUCUGUUAAGGUAAACCACUCAGAAAGGAGUGAUCAGUGGGAAGCUCAUCAGGACAAUCUCAUCACAGUUGCCUCCAGCACCGGAUAAUAUAGUUUCAGCUUCCUUUUCUUUAGGCUGAAUUAUUUAUAACUUUUGUUGUCUUGAGCAUAUCUAUUCGUUUCUUAUUUCCAUGUUAACUCUCCUCCCCGGUCAGUACAGGUUUUGUGGUAGUUCAAACCGGUUUCUUCUAGCUUUGUGGCUACUUUAUCUUUUAUUUUCCUCAUGAACAUGAUUCCUCUGCAUCUUUCUUAUAGGUGCACAGUUCUGCUUACGCUGUUAAAUGGUAUCAGAACAGACACUUAAAGUUCACAGGAGGCUUCUAUCAGACCUAAAUAUGGCUUCACUCUCAACAUGGGUUAGCUUUGCUCCAGGCUGGCCAUGUGCUUAGUGCCUUGGGCAGUAGCCUCCAUUGUCU
This is a long non-coding RNA of Chelonia mydas (Green sea turtle), 1752 nucleotides long. RefSeq lists it as uncharacterized. NCBI's taxonomy places the organism in Eukaryota, Metazoa, Chordata, Testudines, Cheloniidae. The record is from RefSeq and is a predicted model, not a curated record. The transcript is spliced from 7 exons.